Molecule: long non-coding RNA, 606 nt
Filed under: Capsicum annuum
Lineage: Eukaryota; Viridiplantae; Streptophyta; Magnoliopsida; Solanales; Solanaceae
Description: long non-coding RNA (CANN_LNC004716)
Source: RNAcentral
GAAAAAAGAUUAAAUAUCAACCGUGGCUAACGAGAUUAUUAGUCCUCAAACAAGGGAUAUUAUUGUAAAUAUUGUUUAACACAGUUGGUUGAUCGCCAUUUGAAUUUAAUUAUUGCAAAGUAAGAACUAAUUAGCUUCAGUCUAGCACUUUUUUAUGCUUAAUUAUGUUUCUUUCACUCACACUCUAGCAGCUUUUUAUUGCUCUCUCUUACUUGACUUUUCGCUCAUGGCCUUAACUCAAUUAUAAUCAUGUAUGAAAUAUACUAGUUCUUCGUGAAUCUAAUUCUCCCUCUCUCUAAUAUUUCUUUCUUCUUAAUUCACUCAAUUAUUCUCUCGAGUUUAUCUCUUGAAUAGCUAGUAGCCUGUACUUUAAUCAAUUAUAAUCAUAUAUGAAAUAUACUAGUUCUUUGUGAAUCUAAUUCUCUCUCUCUCACUUUGUAAUAUUUUUUUUCUUCAGUCAGUUGUUCUCUCGAGUUUAUCUCCUGAAAUAGCUAAUCAAUCCUCAAAUUCACUCAGAAUUCAUGCUAUCGAGUAGCAUUUUACUGGCACCCCUAAUUGUAUUUUCUUAUAUGAAAAUCAACUAUUUUUCUAUUAGUAUAUAGAGGC